RNAcentral lists this transfer RNA (75 nucleotides) under Robiginitomaculum sp. RNAcentral describes it as "tRNA-Lys". It matches the Rfam family "tRNA". From Rfam's summary of the family: Transfer RNA (tRNA) molecules are approximately 80 nucleotides in length. Their secondary structure includes four short double-helical elements and three loops (D, anti-codon, and T loops). Further hydrogen bonds mediate the characteristic L-shaped molecular structure. tRNAs have two regions of fundamental functional importance: the anti-codon, which is responsible for specific mRNA codon recognition, and the 3' end, to which the tRNAs corresponding amino acid is attached (by aminoacyl-tRNA synthetases). tRNAs cope with the degeneracy of the genetic code in two manners: having more than one tRNA (with a specific anti-codon) for a particular amino acid; and 'wobble' base-pairing, i.e. permitting non-standard base-pairing at the 3rd anti-codon position. Lineage: Bacteria; Pseudomonadati; Pseudomonadota; Alphaproteobacteria; Maricaulales; Robiginitomaculaceae. The record is from RNAcentral.
GCACCCUUAGCUCAGUGGUAGAGCAGCGGACUUUUAAUCCGAAGGUCCUGGGUUCGAUCCCCAGAGGGUACACCA